Molecule: ribosomal RNA, 467 nt
Filed under: uncultured bacterium
Lineage: Bacteria
Description: partial 16S ribosomal RNA
Rfam family: Bacterial small subunit ribosomal RNA
Source: RNAcentral
ACGAACGCUGGCGGCGUGCUUAACACAUGCAAGUCGCACGGAAAGGCCCUGCUUUUGUGGGGUGCUCGAGUGGCGAACGGGUGAGUAACACGUGAGUAACCUGCCCUUGACUUUGGGAUAACUUCAGGAAACUGGGGCUAAUACCGGAUAGGAGCUCCUGCUGCAUGGUGGAGGUUGGAAAGUUUCGGCGGUUGGGGAUGGACUCGCGGCUUAUCAGCUUGUUGGUGGGGUAGUGGCUUACCAAGGCUUUGACGGGUAGCCGGCCUGAGAGGGUGACCGGCCACAUUGGGACUGAGAUACGGCCCAGACUCCUACGGGAGGCAGCAGUGGGGAAUAUUGCACAAUGGGCGGAAGCCUGAUGCAGCAACGCCGCGUGCGGGAUGACGGCCUUCGGGUUGUAAACCGCUUUCGCCUGUGACGAAGCGUGAGUGACGGUAAUGGGUAAAGAAGCACCGGCUAACUACGUG